UGGCGGACGGGUGAGUAACACGUGACCAACCAACCUCGAAGUUGGGAAUAGCUCUGCGAAAGCAGGGGUAAUACCGAAUGUGGCCCGGAGCGGACAUCCGCACCGGUCUAAAGAUUUAUCGCUUCGAGACGGGGUCGCGGCCUAUUAGCUUGUUGGUGGGGUAACGGCCUACCAAGGCGAUGAUGGGUAGCUGGUCUGAGAGGACGACCAGCCACACUGGGACUGAGACACGGCCCAGACUCCUACGGGAGGCAGCAGUGAGGAAUCUUCCGCAAUGGGCGAAAGCCUGACGGAGCAACGCCGCGUGUGGGAUGAAGACUUUAGGGUUGUAAACCACUGUCGGAGGGGACGAUCGUGACGGUACCCUCCAAGAAAGCCCCGGCUAACUACGUG
Molecule: ribosomal RNA, 393 nt
Filed under: uncultured bacterium
Lineage: Bacteria
Description: bacterial SSU rRNA
Rfam family: Bacterial small subunit ribosomal RNA
Source: RNAcentral